This 723-nucleotide ribosomal RNA is filed under the name Fusarium sp. ES22. Its description in RNAcentral is "LSU rRNA". It matches the Rfam family "Eukaryotic large subunit ribosomal RNA", at positions 91 to 870 of the family's 3401-position model. Lineage: Eukaryota; Fungi; Ascomycota; Sordariomycetes; Hypocreales; Nectriaceae. The record is from RNAcentral.
GAGUGAAGCGGCAACAGCUCAAAUUUGAAAUCUGGGCCCGAGUUGUAAUUUGUAGAGGAUACUUUUGAUGCGGUCCUUCCGAGUUCCCUGGAACGGGACGCCAUAGAGGGUGAGAGCCCCGUCUGGUUGGAUGCCAUCUCUGUAAAGUUCCUUCAACGAGUCGAGUAGUUUGGGAAUGCUGCUCUAAAUGGGAGGUAUAUGUCUUCUAAAGCUAAAUACCGGCCAGAGACCGAUAGCGCACAAGUAGAGUGAUCGAAAGAUGAAAAGCACUUUGAAAAGAGAGUUAAAAAGUACGUGAAAUUGUUGAAAGGGAAGCGUUUAUGACCAGACUUGGGCUUGGAAUCAUCUGGGGUUCUCCCCAGUGCACUUUCCAGUCAGGCCAGCAUCAGUUUUCCCCGGGGGAUAAGGCGGCGGGAAUGUGGCUCUGGGAGUGUUAUAGCCCACCGUAUACCCUGGGGGGGACUGAGGUUCGCGCAUCUGCAAGGAUGCUGGCGUAAUGGUCAUCAACGACCCGUCUUGAAACACGGACCAAGGAGUCGUCUUCGUAUGCGAGUGUUCGGGUGUCAAACCCCUACGCGUAAUGAAAGUGAACGCAGGUGAGAGCGGCGCAUCAUCGACCGAUCCUGAUGUUCUCGGAUGGAUUUGAGUAAGAGCAUACGGGGCCGGACCCGAAAGAAGGUGAACUAUGCCUGUAUAGGGUGAAGCCAGAGGAAACUCUGGUGG